GUCUGACUUGAAACUAGAACAUUGACAGGUCUCUGGAAUAUUGCUAUCCCAGUCUCUGUAACUCAUUAUUCCACAACACUUACCCUGCAACAGCAAACACAGUUGUCAGUGAACACAAGGUUAGAAACAGUGAACACAAGGUUAGAAACAGUGAACACAAGGUUAGAAACAGUGAACACAAGGUUAGAAACAGUGAACACAAGAUGAACACAAGGUUAGAAACAGUGAACACAAGAUGAACACAAGAUUAGAAACAAUGAACACAAGAUGAACACAAGAUUAGAAACAGUGAACACAAGGUGAACACAAGGUGAACACAAGGUUAGAAACAGUGAACACAAGGUGAACACAAGAUUAGAAACAGUGAACACAAGAUUAGAAACAGUGAACACAAGAUGAACACAAGAUUAGAAACAGUGAACACAAGAUGAACACAAGAUUAGAAACAGUGAACACAAGAUGAACACAAGAUUAGAAACAGUGAACACAAGAUGAACACAAGGUUAGAAACAGUGAACACAAGGUGAGAAACAGUGAACACAAGAUGAACACAAGGUUAGAAACAGUGAACACAAGAUGAACACAAGGUUAGAAACAGUGAACACAAGAUGAA
This is a long non-coding RNA of Oncorhynchus keta (chum salmon), 613 nucleotides long. RefSeq lists it as uncharacterized. The transcript has 4 exons. The record is from RefSeq and is a predicted model, not a curated record. Lineage: Eukaryota; Metazoa; Chordata; Actinopteri; Salmoniformes; Salmonidae.